GAUGAACGCUGGCGGCGUGCCUAAUACAUGCAAGUCGAGCGAACAGACGAGGAGCUUGCUCCUCUGACGUUAGCGGCGGACGGGUGAGUAACACGUGGAUAACCUACCUAUAAGACUGGGAUAAUUUCGGGAAACCGGAGCUAAUACCGGAUAAUAUAUUGAACCGCAUGGUUCAAUAGUGAAAGACGGUUUUGCUGUCACUUAUAGAUGGUUACGCGCCGCAUUAGCUAGUUGGUAAGUUAACGGCUUACCAAGGCGACGAUGCGUAGCCGACCUGAGAGGGUGAUCGGCCACACUGGAACUGAGACACGGUCCAGACUCCUACGGGAGGCAGCAGUAGGGAAUCUUCCGCAAUGGGCGAAAGCCUGACGGAGCAACGCCGCGUGAGUGAUGAAGGUCUUCGGAUCGUAAAACUCUGUUAUUAGGGAAGAACAAAUGUGUAAGUAACUAUGCACGUCUUGACGGUACCUAAUCAGAAAGCCACGGCUAACUACGUG
RNAcentral lists this ribosomal RNA (497 nucleotides) under uncultured bacterium. Its description in RNAcentral is "partial 16S ribosomal RNA". It matches the Rfam family "Bacterial small subunit ribosomal RNA", at positions 28 to 507 of the family's 1533-position model. The record is from RNAcentral.